UAUAUGGGCUUUACUGAAACUUGUCAAAGGGAUGCCUUUUAUAGCUGGUAUGCUAUCCGUAGACAUGCUAUCAGCGUUGCAUUUUUAGGACCUGAGUAUAUGAUGAUGACACAUUAUGUCUGGUAUGCAGAGAUCCGGGUGUGAUGGAGGUGUAGACAUACAGAGAGCAAAGCAGAAGACCAUACACAUGUACAUUAUUGGAAAAGUAGUCAGGUUAACUUGGCCACCUCACAGGAAUAUCUUUCUACAGACGAGAAAGGGAUGGAGGGCUAACAGUCAUGCGUCAUUCAUUUAGGGAAGUCCAAUGUUGACACCAACAUCUGACCUUGGAUACAAGAUACACCCAGUUUAACCAUUGACGUGCCACUAAAACUUAAUAGUUCACUCAGAGUAUCUGUAUCUGAGCGCGGCCUUAAUUCAGCUACAGGACCCUGUGGUAGGAUCCACUUCAUGCCUGCAAUUAUCUAAUGUUCAACCCUAUCAAAGCACACUCCAAGAAUAGCUCUAGAAUUAAGGACUGUGGUCUGGCACAUAGAGCUUGUGAGAAAAUAACUUAUUUAUCUUAGCAGUGGCACUCUCACAUCUUUCCACCAAUGCCUUCCAAAGUGAACCACAUUUGGAACAGCUGAUACCAAGGCCCACUCAUCUGGUCAAUGUUGAAGAAGCACUUCUGUGCUGAAUGUGUGGCUGGCAUCUGACUACAGGAGGACAUUGUCAGGCAAUGACAUCAUGGUGCUCCCACUUCCAUUCCAGGCAUGCUUUGAUCUCUUAGGGCCAUCCAGGUGAAAUGUGUAAGCAGAUCUGAGAGAGGAGACUGAUGCUUGAUCCUACAGCCCCUCUAUGUUUAGCUCUGCCACAAGAGUAUUAAUGAAGUUUUACGGACAUUUGUAAUGGAAACACAACGGAUGUCUGUCUUCAAGACUUGUAAUAUAUUCGAGGAAAGAAUUCAUCUUCUUCAGACUAAAACUCUAGUCAGUGUAACAACUCUGGAGGAGCUGCAGAGAUUCCCAACACUGAGGGGAAAAGGAGUGAAGGGGAACUAACGCUGCACAUCAUCCUCAAUGCACCAACCCUCUGGUCAGACAUCAUGAUGUUGUCAUCAUGCAUUAAGGGUGCUUAUUGCACCAUAGUCCAGACAUUAAUCCAGUUGACAAUGUGUGGCAAGAAUUGAAAAUGUCUGUCCUCCGGCGCUCUCCAUUCGAUGCAAAUGACUUUGAGCCAUUUUGGAAAGAAGAAUGGUCAAAGAUUUCAGUCUCUAUGUCAAAGCACCCAAAACCUUACUGCAAAAAGCGA
Long non-coding RNA from Poeciliopsis prolifica (blackstripe livebearer), 1293 nucleotides. RefSeq lists it as uncharacterized. The transcript is spliced from 3 exons. The record is from RefSeq and is a predicted model, not a curated record. NCBI's taxonomy places the organism in Eukaryota, Metazoa, Chordata, Actinopteri, Cyprinodontiformes, Poeciliidae.